This 505-nucleotide ribosomal RNA is filed under the name uncultured bacterium. Its description in RNAcentral is "bacterial SSU rRNA". It matches the Rfam family "Bacterial small subunit ribosomal RNA", at positions 21 to 518 of the family's 1533-position model. The record is from RNAcentral.
GGCUCAGGAUGAACGCUAGCGGCAGGCUUAACACAUGCAAGUCGAGGGGCAUCGGGAGUAGCAAUACUGCCGGCGACCGGCGCAAGGGUGCGUAACGCGUGAGCAACAUGCCCGUAUCAGGGGGGAUAAUCCAUGGAAACGUGGUCCUAAUACCCCAUAGUAAUUAUGUAAGGCAUCUUAUAUAAUUUAAAGCUUUGGUGGAUACGGAUUGGCUCGCGUGACAUUAGCUGGAUGGUAAGGUAACGGCUUACCAUGGCUACGAUGUCUAGGGGUUCUGAGAGGAAGGUCCCCCACACUGGAACUGAGACACGGUCCAGACUCCUACGGGAGGCAGCAGUGAGGAAUAUUGGACAAUGGAUGGAAAUCUGAUCCAGCCAUGCCGCGUGCAGGAAGAACCGGCCCUAUGGGUUGUAAACUGCUUUUGUAUGGGAGCAAUAAGGGCUACGUGUAGUCCGAUGAGAGUACCAUACGAAUAAGCACCGGCUAACUCCGUGCCAGCAGCAGC